Molecule: long non-coding RNA, 1974 nt
Organism: Mauremys reevesii (Reeves's turtle)
Lineage: Eukaryota; Metazoa; Chordata; Testudines; Geoemydidae
Exons: 3
Source: RefSeq, a predicted model, not a curated record
AGUAGUUUGCAGUCACUCCCUAGGAGAAGGGAGGUGUGUUUGGGAUCUACAGUGCUAAGUAGCCUGCAGGUGCACCCUAUGAAGAGGGAGUUUGAGCUGGUAAACCCAGGGGAGAGCCAGAAGGUAGGGCUGAUAAGUAAGAAGGAGUCCAGUGAAAGCACAGCAGGGUCUGAGGGAAAACUGGCAACAGUUGCAGAUAUAAAUCCCUGGAUUAGAACCUGGAGUAGUGGGCGGGCCCAGGUUCCCCUCGCAGUCACUGGGGAAGUGGCACAGAUCAGGCAGUGGAGCAUAGACUGCCUAGGACAGUUGUCCAGAGAGACUUUUGUUAACCUGAAAGGGGAGGACUAUAGUGACCUGGCUGAAGGGCUGAAUCAUGAAGGAGCACCCUGAGUCAGAGAGAGAGCAAGGAACUAACAGGAGAGGAUGUCACACCUGGAACCAGCUAAUCCCCAGAGCAACCAGAAGGAGGUGUUCCAAUGUGCGUUUGCAAGUGGCUGGUUGCAAUGAGGUGAAAAUCCUUGUUCCUGGGCCUGUGGGGAGCUUGUAACACGCAGUGCAGAACUGACAAUGUCACCGAGCUUCCAGACUACAGAUUUCAUCUGUGAAGUAACUCUGUCCAGAAGGCGUGGUACCUCUGCCAGCGGACUAAUACUUUGACAACCUUAAUGGACUAUAAACCAGUUAACAGAAGUUCAGGGCAAUUAGUAAUUUCCCUGCAAAAAGCUGCUGCAGUUUGCUGGAUGGUCUUCAUCCCACAUAUCAUCACUGCAGUCAGAUUUACCACCUGUGUUUGGCUGACCAGUUCAGAAAACAAAAGAUAAGACUCUUGCUUAAUUGACUUGAUGCUACAAAGUCAUUCAGAAAAAAUGUCUAUGUAUUUUUAUGAUAAUACUCUCAUGUCAUUAUUUGGCCAGAAUAAGUAUGCAGUGAACAAAUAUAAACUUAGACAAACUUAGUCCAGAUCCCAAUGGUUUAAGCACAUCCCACUGGAUGAGGAGAGCUCUUAGUAACUUACAGCUAAGGUAUGUCUCCGCUCAAGCUAGAGGUGUAAGUUCCAGCUCAGGUAACUGUAUCUGUGCUAGCUUUGAUGGAGCUAACACUCUAACACUAGCAGUAUACUCAUGGCCCGCAGGUAGCGGGAUGGGAUAUCUGCCAUGGGUAAGUACCUAGGAUUCCAGACAGCAUUAUACUCAGGGCAGCUAGCCCAUCCCGCCACCUGCGCCACUGCGACUACACUUCUGUUUUUAGUAUGUUAGCUUGAUCAAAACUAGCGUGCAUACGUCUCAUUGAGCUGGAAAUUGCACGCACAGCUCGUGUGGAGUUGUGCCCUUACAGCUGUCCAGAGAAUGACAAGUCUGCUUCAUGACAACUUUUGAGGUUUCGAAAUUUGUUUUCGUUCCACAAAAAAAAGGUUUUAGAACAUUUUCACAGAACAGAAAUUAGUUGAAAUGGCUGUUUUCAGAAAUCUCUCUGUCUCUCUCUCUCUAUGAUCAGAAGUGAUCCAAGGGCUCUGGCCCUCAAAAACCUUCCUGACAAAAAUGUCAUUGAAACCAAUAUGUCUGCAAUAAACAUUUUGGCUUUGUUAAAACCUCAUUGGUUGAAAAUGUUCUGACCAGCUCUGCUUACACUUAUCAUAUUCAUCUCACUGGUGCCUUGUAUUUCUCUGUAUGAUUGUUGUAUCCACUUGUCUCUCAUCUUAUACUAGGUUUGGAAUCUGUAUGGGACUGAUGCUGUCUUUUUGUUUUAUGUGUGUAUGGUGCCUACCACCGUGAGGCUCCGAUCCCCUAUUGAGACCUCUAGGAUUUGCCACCAUACAAAUAAUAAAUAAUAAUGAUUGUGCAAAAUCUGAUGCAAAGCAAAGUGAGGAAGAAGGCAGAGGGAGAAAAGCCAAAAACAACAAUAUGAACAGGAGCUGACCAAUAGUUAAUAAAAUAACCAAUUAAAGGAGUUUAAUACGUUCUUUCUUUCUUUCUU